Molecule: ribosomal RNA, 107 nt
Filed under: Pollicipes elegans
Lineage: Eukaryota; Metazoa; Arthropoda; Thecostraca; Pollicipedomorpha; Pollicipedidae
Description: partial 28S ribosomal RNA
Source: RNAcentral
CGACCUCAGAUCAGAAGGGCCGAAUUUCCACAGUGAUAUCAGCUUAUCGAUACCGUCGACCUCGAGGGGGGGGCCGGUACCCAGCCUUUUUGUUCCCUUUAGUGGAG